UCUAAUAGAAUUUUUAUUAGUAUAGCCUGCUCAAUGAAAUAUAAAUAGCCGCAGAACUCUGUGCUAAGGUAGCAUAAUAAUUUGCCUUUUAAUUUUAGGCCAGCAUGAAAGGUAUUACAUAUUGAUUUCUUUAUCAACAUAAACACUUUGAAUCUAACAUUUUAGUAAAAAGGCUAAAAUUAACAAAGGGGACGACAAGACCCUGACAAACUUUACAAUUUUUGUUUUGCUGGGGCGGCAAAAAAAUUCAACCUUUUUAUAAAAACAACAAAAAAAUUUUAUUAAUACACAAGUUACUGCAGGGAUAACAGCAUAAUUUUUCCUAAAAGAUCUUAUUUAAGAAAAAGUUUAUGACCUCGAUGUUGAAUUAAAUAACUAUAAAGGGCAAAACCUUUACAAGUAAGUCUGUUCGACUUUUAAUAUUUUACAUGAUUUGAGUUCAGACCGGUGUGAACCAGGUCGGUUUCUAUCUCUUAUGAAAAAAUUUUAGUACGAAAGGAACAAACUUUUUAUAAUAUAUUU
Molecule: ribosomal RNA, 522 nt
Filed under: Nemesia sp. CRBAME001093
Lineage: Eukaryota; Metazoa; Arthropoda; Arachnida; Araneae; Nemesiidae
Description: partial 16S ribosomal RNA
Rfam family: Bacterial large subunit ribosomal RNA
Source: RNAcentral